GUAUUCGCAGGUGCGGCAUCAUCAAGAUUCACAUACUUUAGUGAGGGGUCUACCUUUAUCGAUCGAGUUAAUUGGUACUACUAACACCACCAAUUGAUUUUUGUACUCGAACUUCCUUUAGUACUCGAAAGGUAGUUCCUUUGAACUUUGAAGUGGGAAUCUUGAUGAUGCUGCAUCAGCAAGUAC
Molecule: microRNA precursor, 186 nt
Organism: Prunus persica (peach)
Lineage: Eukaryota; Viridiplantae; Streptophyta; Magnoliopsida; Rosales; Rosaceae
Rfam family: mir-172 microRNA precursor family
About the family: mir-172 has been experimentally verified in Arabidopsis thaliana. This family is thought to target mRNAs coding for APETALA2-like transcription factors. The mature sequence is excised from the 3' arm of the hairpin.
Source: Rfam